UACGGAGGGGGCAAGCGUUGUUCGGAAUUACUGGGCGUAAAGGGCUCGUAGGCGGCCAACUAAGUCAGACGUGAAAUCCCUCAGCUUAACUGGGGAACUGCGUCUGAUACUGGAUGGCUUGAGUUUGGGAGAGGGACGCGGAAUUCCAGGUGUAGCGGUGAAAUGCGUAGAUAUCUGGAGGAACACCGGUGGCGAAGGCGGCGUCCUGGACCAACACUGACACUGAUGAGCGAAAGCCAGGGGAGCAAACGGG
This 253-nucleotide ribosomal RNA is filed under the name uncultured bacterium. Its description in RNAcentral is "partial 16S ribosomal RNA". It matches the Rfam family "Bacterial small subunit ribosomal RNA", at positions 524 to 776 of the family's 1533-position model. The record is from RNAcentral.